This 916-nucleotide ribosomal RNA is filed under the name uncultured euryarchaeote. Its description in RNAcentral is "bacterial SSU rRNA". It matches the Rfam family "Archaeal small subunit ribosomal RNA", at positions 1 to 924 of the family's 1478-position model. Lineage: Archaea; Methanobacteriati; Methanobacteriota. The record is from RNAcentral.
UUCCGGUUGAUCCCGCCGGACCUGACUGCUAUCGGAUUGAUACUAAGCCAUGCGAGUUUUUGCAGUAAUGCAAAGCAUACGGCUCAGUAACACGUAGUCAACUUACCCUAUGGACGAGGAUAAUCUCGGGAAACUGAGCAUAAUACUCGAUAGAUCAUAAUGCCUGGAAUGGUUUAUGGUUGAAAUGAUUCGUCGCCGUAGGAUGGGACUGCGGCCUAUCAGCUUGUUGGUGAGGUAAUGGCCCACCAAGGCGAUUACAGGUACGGGCUCUGAGAGGAGAAGCCCGGAGAUGGGUACUGAGACAAGGACCCAGGCCCUAUGGGGCGCAGCAGGCGAGAAAACUUUGCAAUGUGCGAAAGCACGACAAGGUUAAUCCGAGUGAUUUGUGCUAAACGAAUCUUUUGUUAGUCCUAGAAACACUAACGAAUAAGGGGUGGGCAAGUUCUGGUGUCAGCCGCCGCGGUAAAACCAGCACCUCAAGUGGUCAGGAUGAUUAUUGGGCCUAAAGCAUCCGUAGCCGGCUCUGUAAGUUUUCGGUUAAAUCUGUACGCUCAACGUACAGGCUGCCGGGAAUACUGCAGAGCUAGGGAGUGGGAGAGGUAGACGGUACUCGGUAGGAAGGGGUAAAAUCCUUUGAUCUAUUGAUGACCACCUGUGGCGAAGGCGGUCUACCAGAACACGUCCGACGGUGAGGGAUGAAAGCUGGGGGAGCAAACCGGAUUAGAUACCCGGGUAGUCCCAGCUGUAAACUAUGCAAACUCAGUGAUGCAUUGACUUGUGGUCAAUGCAGUGCUGCAGGGAAGCCGUUAAGUUUGCCGCCUGGGAAGUACGUACGCAAGUAUGAAACUUAAAGGAAUUGGCGGGGGAGCACCACAAGGGGUGAAGCCUGCGGUUCAAUUGGAGUCAACGCCGGAAA